GGCUUAGAGUUUGAUCAUGGCUCAGGAUGAACGCUGGCGGCGUGCUUAACACAUGCAAGUCGAGCGAAGCACUUGAGACUGAUUUCUUCGGAAUGAAAUCUCAUUUGACUGAGCGGCGGACGGGUGAGUAACGCGUGGGUGACCUGCCCCAUACCGGGGGAUAACAGCUGGAGACGGCUGCUAAUACCGCAUAAGCGCACGGAGCUGCAUGGCUCAGUGUGAAAAACUCCGGUGGUAUGGGAUGGGCCCGCGUCUGAUUAGGCAGUUGGCGGGGUAACGGCCCACCAAACCGACGAUCAGUAGCCGACCUGAGAGGGCGACCGGCCACAUUGGGACUGAGACACGGCCCAAACUCCUACGGGAGGCAGCAGUGGGGAAUAUUGCACAAUGGGGGAAACCCUGAUGCAGCGACGCCGCGUGAGCGAAGAAGUAUUUCGGUAUGUAAAGCUCUAUCAGCAGGGAAGAUAAUGACGGUACCUGACUAAGAAGCCCCGGCUAACUACGUGCCAGCAGCCGCGGUAAUACGUAGGGGGCAAGCGUUAUCCGGAUUUACUGGGUGUAAAGGGAGCGUAGACGGCGAAGCAAGUCUGGUGUGAAAACCCGGGGCUCAACCCCGGGCCUGCAUUGGAAACUGUUUUGCUCGAGUGCCGGAGAGGUAAGCGGAAUUCCUAGUGUAGCGGUGAAAUGCGUAGAUAUUAGGAGGAACACCAGUGGCGAAGGCGGCUUACUGGACGGUAACUGACGUUGAGGCUCGAAAGCGUGGGGAGCAACAGGAUUAGAUACCCUGGUAGUCCACGCCGUANACGAUGAAUGCUANGUGUUGGGGAGCAAAGCUCUUCGGUGCCGCCGCAAACGCAUUAAGCAUUCCACCCUGGGAG
This 878-nucleotide ribosomal RNA is filed under the name uncultured bacterium. Its description in RNAcentral is "bacterial SSU rRNA". It matches the Rfam family "Bacterial small subunit ribosomal RNA", at positions 1 to 880 of the family's 1533-position model. The record is from RNAcentral.